AUGAAAUGUGUCACUUCUGUUUGGUUCACGAUUAAGGUGAAUGGCGAGCUACUACCGUACUUCACUCCCUCACGAGGUUUACGGCAAGGAUGCCCCAUUUCGCCGUACCUGUUCCUACUGUGUGCUCAAGGCCUUACUUCACUUCUGAAUAAUUUUGGUGCAGCAUACAUUGAUCGAGGAAUUAGGGUGAGUAUCCAUGCACCUUGGGUUAAUCACUUGCUUUUUGCUGAUGAUUGCCUUAUCUUCUUGAAUGCACAAGCCCAGAGUGCGGAUAGACUGAACGAUAUUCUCCAGAUUUACGCUGAUUGCUCCGGACAAGCAGUGAACAGGGAGAAAAGCUCUAUAUAUUUCAGUGCCAAUACACAUCAACCCACACGGCAGGCGCUUAAGCAAUCUCUGGACAUACAUGUUGAGGCCUUCUCGGAGCGUUACUUGGGUUUACCUACAGCUAUUGGCAAGAUAACUACUGGAACAUUUGAUCAUAUUGUUGAUCGAUGUCGAAGUAAGUUA
RNAcentral lists this ribosomal RNA (510 nucleotides) under Triticum aestivum (bread wheat). RNAcentral's name for it is "partial small subunit ribosomal RNA". The record is from RNAcentral. Lineage: Eukaryota; Viridiplantae; Streptophyta; Magnoliopsida; Poales; Poaceae.